This 499-nucleotide ribosomal RNA is filed under the name uncultured bacterium. RNAcentral's name for it is "bacterial SSU rRNA". It matches the Rfam family "Bacterial small subunit ribosomal RNA", at positions 29 to 507 of the family's 1533-position model. The record is from RNAcentral.
ACGAACGCUGGCGGCGUGCCUAAUACAUGCAAGUCGAGCGGAAUGAUGAAGAAGCUUGCUUCUUCUGAUUUUAGCGGCGGACGGGUGAGUAACACGUGGGCGACCUACCUUGUAGAUUGGGAUAACUCCGGGAAACCGGGGCUAAUACCGAAUAAUCCAUUUUGCUUCAUGGCGAGAUGUUAAAAGGCGGCUUCGGCUGUCACUACGAGAUGGGCCCGCGGCGCAUUAGCUAGUUGGUAGGGUAAUGGCCUACCAAGGCGACGAUGCGUAGCCGACCUGAGAGGGUGAUCGGCCACACUGGGACUGAGACACGGCCCAGACUCCUACGGGAGGCAGCAGUAGGGAAUCUUCCACAAUGGACGAAAGUCUGAUGGAGCAACGCCGCGUGAGUGAAGAAGGUUUUCGGAUCGUAAAACUCUGUUGUAAGGGAAGAACACGUACGAGAGUAACUGCUCGUACCUUGACGGUACCUUAUUAGAAAGCCACGGCUAACUACGUG